AGUCGGACGAGAAAGUGGAGCAAUCCAUGAGUACAGUGGCGUACGGGUGAGUAACACGUGGGGAUCUACCUUUUGGUGGGGGAUAACUCUGGGAAACCGGAGCUAAUACCGCAUAAGCAGGGGACUGGAAAGCCGAAAGGCGCCGGAAGAGGAGCCCGCGGCCGAUUAGCCAGUUGGUGAGGUAACGGCUCACCAAAGCAAAGAUCGGUAGCCGGCCUGAGAGGGCACACGGCCACACUGGCACUGAAACACGGGCCAGACUCCUACGGGAGGCAGCAGUGGGGAAUCUUGCACAAUGGGGGCAACCCUGAUGCAGCGACGCCGCGUGAGCGAUGAAGCCCUUCGGGGUGUAAAGCUCUUUCGACCGGAACGAUAAUGACGGUACCGGGAGAAGAAGCUGCGGCUAACUACGUGCCAGCAGCCGCGGUAAUACGUAGGCAGCAAGCGUUGUUCGGAGUUACUGGGCGUAAAGAGUGCGUAGGCGGUGGCCUAAGUUCGGUGUGAAAUCUCCCGGCUUAACUGGGAGGGUGCGCCGGAAACUGGGCUGCUGGAGUGUGGGAAAGGCAAGCGGAAUUCCUGGUGUAGCGGUGAAAUGCGUAGAUAUCAGGAGGAACACCGGCGGUGUAGACGGCUUGCUAGACCAUAACUGACGCUGAGGCACGAAAGCGUGGGUAGCA
Molecule: ribosomal RNA, 677 nt
Filed under: uncultured Acidobacteriota bacterium
Lineage: Bacteria; Pseudomonadati; Acidobacteriota
Description: bacterial SSU rRNA
Rfam family: Bacterial small subunit ribosomal RNA
Source: RNAcentral